ACACACAAAAUAGUCUCUUGUUAGAGUGA
RNAcentral lists this non-coding RNA (29 nucleotides) under Mus musculus (house mouse). Lineage: Eukaryota; Metazoa; Chordata; Mammalia; Rodentia; Muridae. The record is from RNAcentral.